GUGGGAGUCCGGACGAAGUCUGCCUGCAGCCGGAGUCGGGGACAAGGCCCGGUUCCCUUAGGAGUCCGGGUGGUGCAAUGGGAGUUCGCCAUCUGCAACUGAAAGCUGGAGGAGUCCUGCGAGGGUCAAUCCUGUUAAGAACUUCGACUGAGGGUAUUUUAUACCCAACAUACGUAUUAAAAGCUUUAACAAUUAAAACUAUCCAACCGAAACUCAAACCCCAGAAUCAUCUUAUAGAUAUCGAACAAACC
Molecule: long non-coding RNA, 251 nt
Filed under: Elaeis guineensis (African oil palm)
Lineage: Eukaryota; Viridiplantae; Streptophyta; Magnoliopsida; Arecales; Arecaceae
Description: long non-coding RNA (EGUI_LNC059236)
Source: RNAcentral